This 252-nucleotide ribosomal RNA is filed under the name uncultured bacterium. RNAcentral describes it as "partial 16S ribosomal RNA". It matches the Rfam family "Bacterial small subunit ribosomal RNA", at positions 524 to 776 of the family's 1533-position model. The record is from RNAcentral.
UACAUGGGGUGCAAACGUUGCUCGGAAUCAUUGGGCGUAAAGCGCACGUAGGCGGUUCGUUAUGUCGGAUGUGAAAGCCCUUGGCUUAACCGAGGAAGUGCAUCCGAAACUGGCGAGCUAGAGUACGAAAGAGGAUCGCGGAAUUCCCGGUGUAGAGGUGAAAUUCGUAGAUAUCGGGAGGAACACCGGUGGCGAAGGCGGCGAUCGUGGGCGAUACUGACGCUGAGGUGCGAAAGCGUGGGAGCAAACAGG